UAGUUAUGUGUUAUGCAUGAAUGUAGUUGUCUAUAGGCAUUGUUGUGUUGUGUUACAUGCAACAAGAGUGAUGUGGGUGAACUUCAAACCUUACGCUUCUCUAUCUGGUAUUGACUACCCGGUGCAGGUCACGAACUGCUGUUGCUCUAUUGGAAAGAUUAAAAAUUUUGCUGCAGGUUCAAAACCCUCAUAGUAUUAAAUACAAAGGGACGAUUCAGGGCUUGAAGUACAUAUGGAGGACUGAGGGUUUCAGAGGCUUGUUUAAAGGCAAUGGAACUAAUUGUGCUCGCAUAGUCCCUAAUUCAGCAGUCAAGUUCUUUAGCUACGAGGAAGCAUCAAAGGGUAUUUUAUGGCAG
Molecule: long non-coding RNA, 356 nt
Organism: Pyrus x bretschneideri (Chinese white pear)
Lineage: Eukaryota; Viridiplantae; Streptophyta; Magnoliopsida; Rosales; Rosaceae
Exons: 3
Source: RefSeq, a predicted model, not a curated record